AUCCUUCGGCCCUGCAUUAUCCUCCUCCCGAUGCGGGAUCGAAUGACCAGCGACACUCCUCCUCCCAGUCGUUGGUCUGUCAAAAUGACGCUCACCGGAUCCUCCCCCGGUGAGCGUUAUUC
Rhizobium sp. PDO1-076 is the source of this 122-nucleotide small RNA. It matches the Rfam family "Alphaproteobacterial ar14". From Rfam's summary of the family: Smr14C2 was renamed NfeR1 (Nodule Formation Efficiency RNA) highly expressed in salt stress and during the symbiotic interaction on legume roots. NCBI's taxonomy places the organism in Bacteria, Pseudomonadati, Pseudomonadota, Alphaproteobacteria, Hyphomicrobiales, Rhizobiaceae. The record is from Rfam.